RNAcentral lists this ribosomal RNA (467 nucleotides) under uncultured bacterium. RNAcentral describes it as "partial 16S ribosomal RNA". It matches the Rfam family "Bacterial small subunit ribosomal RNA", at positions 28 to 507 of the family's 1533-position model. The record is from RNAcentral.
GACGAACGCUGGCGGCGUGCUUAACACAUGCAAGUCGAACGGAAAGGCCUCAGCUUGCUGGGGUACUCGAGUGGCGAACGGGUGAGUAACACGUGGGUGAUCUGCCUUGCACUCUGGGAUAAGCUUGGGAAACUGGGUCUAAUACCGGAUAUGAACUCCCUUUAGUGGGGGGGUUGGAAAGUUUUUUCGGGGCAAGAUGAGCUCGCGGCCUAUCAGCUUGUUGGUGGGGGAAUGGCCUACCAAGGCGUCGACGGGUAGCCGGCCUGAGAGGGUGUACGGCCACAUUUGGACUGAGAUACGGCCCAGACUCCUACGGGAGGGAGCAGUGGGGAAUAUUGCACCAUGGGGGGAAGCCUGAUGCAGCGAAGCCGCGUGGGGGAUGACCGGCUUCGGGUUGUAAACUCCUUUCGACAGGGACGAAGCUUUUUGUGACGGUACCUGGAGAAGAAGCACCGGCUAACUACGUG